GAUGAAGAACGUAGCGAAAUGCGAUACGUAGUGUGAAUUGCAGAAUUCCGUGAACCAUCAAAUCUUUGAACGCAUAUUGCGCUCGAGGCUUCGGCCGAGAGCAUGUCUGCCUCAGCGUCGGUAUUACCCCUCGCUUCUCAACCCCCGGUUGAUGCCUGCCUGCCUUUGCAGUUGGCUAGAAGCGGAUCUGGCUUUCCCAAUUGCCUUUGGUAGUUGGGUCAGCUGAAGCACAGAGGCUUGAGCAAGGACCCUUAUUGGGCUUCAACUGGAUAGGUAGAACUGGUCUUAGGACCAACUACACGAUGUUGUUGCUUGUGGUCUUUGUCUGGAGGCCAGCAGGAAACCUUUAUACCUUCGACCUGAGCUCAGGCAAGAUUACCCGCUGAACUUAAGCAUAUCAAUAAGCGGAGGA
RNAcentral lists this unclassified non-coding RNA (412 nucleotides) under soil metagenome. RNAcentral describes it as "partial contains 5.8S ribosomal RNA, internal transcribed spacer 2, and large subunit ribosomal RNA". The stretch from base 1 to 120 matches the Rfam family "5.8S ribosomal RNA", at positions 35 to 154 of the family's 154-position model. The record is from RNAcentral.